Talpa occidentalis (Iberian mole) is the source of this 1631-nucleotide long non-coding RNA. RefSeq lists it as uncharacterized. NCBI's taxonomy places the organism in Eukaryota, Metazoa, Chordata, Mammalia, Eulipotyphla, Talpidae. The transcript has 4 exons. The record is from RefSeq and is a predicted model, not a curated record.
UCGCCAGAGCCUCUGAAACCCGGGUGCUGGCCGCCCAGAGCGCGCCAGGGUGCCCAACGCGGAUCCGUAGGGAUGCGGGCUUUCGGCUUUCAUCAGGAGAGAAGACUGUGGCAAAGGGGCAGGAAUUAACCUCUAAGGUAUUAAAAGUGUGCAAAUGAGUUUGCAAUAGGUGCGUGGAAUAAGGAAAUGGAGUUGCUCAGCCUGAAGGGGCGGGGUAUUGCUUCAAUGUAGGUGCUCCGAACCCCAUGCGCCUACAGGGCCUCCAUGGAACUGGGGUCCAGUUUCCUUUUGUUGCAGAUCUCUAUAGGAGAACUUCACCAGCCGGACUCCGAGAAGCCCCUUCUCUGUGACGAGUGAAAUCAGAACCCUGAACCCCGGGGCCUCUCCCUCUGGAAAGCCCUCCCCCCAUGCCCGUCCUCAGGCCAGGUCUGUGGCUCCCUCCCUUGCACACACUCAGCGCAGGUCUGACAGCGCCCUUCUUCCUCCUGGGACCAGAAGUGGCGAAUAUGGUGCAAGAGAGGUGGAAUGGUGCACAGCUUCUGAGACCCUGCAGCUAACCCGCUUUAUCCCCCUUUGGAAUGCUGCAGCCAUGAGAACAAGCCCCAGCUAGCCACUGGAAAGACCACAUGAAGUUCAACCAAGACUCCUGGCUGACAGCCACCAACUACAAAACAAGGAGGAGCCCUUCGAGCUGAGGACAAUCCAUUCUUGUCUCACGGAGCUUCGACAGAGGAAGGGUCUUGGAGUAGGGCUGGGCUUGGCUUGGUAGGGGCUCAGCCAGGCAUUUAGAGAAAACAGCCUGGGGACACCCCGAUGGAUGUGGUAAUGGUCAGGCCUGCACAACGCACUGGGAGCAGUGGGGUGCCUGGACCUCAUGGCCACAGCAGGAGCCUCAUCCCUUACUUGCAAAGGCAGAGUAGCUGCUUCAAAGUAGACUGGGUGCUGCUGGGGAAGGGGAGCCUCAAGGAGCCUGCUGGGCUUCCAGGGCAGUUUGAGGGUAUGAAGAACAGGGGUCUGAGGGACACAAGUGAAGUCUGGUCAGGAUCCUGUAGCUAUUGAGGAAGGGAUGGAAGGCUUUUACAGAAAAUACAUGGAUCUGCUCAUCUCUGCCAUGAACAUUAACAAACCACAGCAUCCGGCAUGUGCUGGUUGCUAUGGGACCCCAGCUGGUUGCUAUGGGACCCCCUUAUAAGGGUGGAACUUCACAGUGUACAUCUUGCAAAGUGCUUUCUCCCACAUUUCAGAGCACUUCCCACCCCCUGAUCAAUUUAGAAAUCACCCCUCUCUCACACUGGAUUGUUGACUCCAUGAGGAAGAAACAUCUUGACCACCAGCUGCAGCAGCCAUCCUGUGACCCCAAGGAAAGUUUAAGAGGAUUGAAGAGAUGCCAGUCCAAACCCGGAUGUUGUCCAAAAACUGAACCAAAGCCAGUGCUGCCUGCUUGUGAUCGUGUUCAGCGAGAAAAACAAGUACCUAUUUAUUCAAACCAUUCUUUACUCAAGUUUUCUGUUACUUGAACCGGAAACCAUUCCUAUGUAAUGUGAGAAUGAAAAAUUAAAGGAGUUAAAGAAAAAAGCCCUUGGUGAAGAAAAGCAGCUUUCAAAUUGGAAGGUCUCAUUUAGUACCAUAUU